GCAAACUUGGUCAUUUAGAGGAAGUAAAAGUCGUAACAAGGUCUCCGUAGGUGAACCUGCGGAGGGAUCAUUACCGAGUUCGUGCCCCGCAGCGGGGUAGAUCUCCCACCCUUGUGUAUCUUCGUACCGUUCUGUUGCUUUGGCAGGCCGCUCAGGCUUCGGCUCGACCACCGGCUCCCCCAGGGGGGCGGGUGUGCGCCUGCCAGAGGACCCCCCAACUCUUGUUUGUCAGUGUCGUCUGAGUACUAUAACCAAUCGUUAAAACUUUCAACAACGGAUCUCUUGGUUCUGGCAUCGAUGAAGAACGCAGC
This 311-nucleotide unclassified non-coding RNA is filed under the name uncultured fungus. Its description in RNAcentral is "partial contains small subunit ribosomal RNA, internal transcribed spacer 1, and 5.8S ribosomal RNA". The stretch from base 1 to 73 matches the Rfam family "Eukaryotic small subunit ribosomal RNA", at positions 1759 to 1831 of the family's 1831-position model. The record is from RNAcentral. Lineage: Eukaryota; Fungi.